RNA transcript from Nasonia vitripennis (jewel wasp), 4208 nucleotides. It is a transcript of the gene named ubiquitin-conjugating enzyme E2-17 kDa, with no coding region annotated. The record is from RefSeq and is a predicted model, not a curated record. The transcript is spliced from 6 exons. Lineage: Eukaryota; Metazoa; Arthropoda; Insecta; Hymenoptera; Pteromalidae.
UCAACAGUCAUUGAAACGCAUAUCAGCCGAAUGUCGAAUUGUCAACAAGUUUGGAUCAUCUAUGCAAAUCUUCGUUUUGAUUGCGUUUCUCUUCAAGUUAAGUAUUUUAAAAAUGAUGAUAAUUUAAAAAAAAAAUCGAACAUUUCGCGAAUAGAAAAGUCUGGCUGUGUAUCCAUGAAUAAUUACCCGAUUGAAGCAGCAUGAAUCGCACGCUGAGGUGAGAGAGAUCAGAGCAAGAGUCAAACACGGAAACGAUUACCAUUUUUGCAUAAGUAAUUAGACCGACGGUGUUCGAUUCAUGAAAUUCAAGAUGCCCCGCAAUUCCUCAAAUUAAGCGGCUUAAUUUAAGCCACUCCAACGUAUUCCCGUCCAUCCCCGCAACCGCCUGCUAUAUAUUAAUUCAAACGCUACGAUUGGCGCACCUGAUGCGGUUUCGUCAAUAUUUAGGUCGCACUUCAAUUCGAGGAACGCCCCAAUAAAAACAAUAGUUCCUCUCGAAGUAUACGCAAGUAUGGUAAAUUAAAGGUAUACACUAUAAUACUUAAUAUAGAGUGACGCAUGCGCUAAUCUCUCCUAUCUCUUCCGAACGUUCAAACGCUUGAUUCCCCCCCUACCCGAGCAUCUGUCCUCUAUUAGAAACCGAAUCUGAUGACGAUCACUGAAGUUUCUCAAGGCUCGCGCGAGCCUAUCUCUCAUACACAACAGCGUCGCUCUCCAAAAUAAUCAUCAUCAGAGAGAAACCAUCAGCGGUCGUCAGCUCAUUCGGCAUUCGAUCUAGCGUAUAGCUAUAUAGAGUCGAGAAAAUUCCACGUCCGAAAUAAAAAUACACUUGUACCGCGGCGACCAACACAGCUGCGCGAAAACACAAAGAGCAUCAGGCCUUCGCUUCGCGGAGCUCGUCGUUCAGCAGCGCGCACCUUGACUUUCCGAAAUCCGCGCUCGUUCGGGGACCUCAAAAAAAGACCUGCUCACGGCGUACAAUACAUGUAUAUAUCUAUAUAUUGUAUAUUGUAUACACACAGACAGGGACAGUAGUAGCCUUCCGUUCCGCGAGCUGCGCGCGAGUGCGGACUUGGCGAGUGGCGCAAAGGAGCCACAGUCGCCCAGAAGGAAAGAGAGAGGGCAACUGCGUGUAGCCAGUAUAUUGUAUAGGCAGUAUAGGUAUAAGUAGUAACGGUAUACCUAUACACGUACGAGCCUGAGCGAGAGAGAUAUAUAUGCCAUACACCCGUCGCUACACUCGCAUAUUGUAAAUUUGUAAUACAGACGCAGACAGACAGAGGCGGGCGGCCUUCGCUAAAACUCCGAGUGCGCGGCUCUCUCGCUUGUAUAAGUGUGUAUAUGCGUGUGUGACAAAAGGCUCCCUACAAUAAUUAUACUCGAAAAGCAGGCAGUAUACCGCGGAGGAGCAACGCCAACGAGGGACCGUAGCACAAAGCAGCAGAGCCAACGCGCACGAAAACUGCGCUGCGGGAAAAAUCGUUCCUCUGCACAUACAGUGAUACAGCGCAGUAUAAGUAUACUAGUAUAGCACUAGUAGGUAGUGCCUUUUGUAGUUGGACUGCGUACGCAUACAGAAAGAGGGAGAAAGACGGAGCGAGAGCCGUCCUCCUCGCCGUCAGUAUAGUGCUGCUCCGCGGUGCCGUGUAUCCGCGCGCGACUGACUCAUCCUCUGCUGCUGCUGCUGAAGAAGUGUCGAAUCGAAGGUGGUGCGCGAGUGAACUGUUGCAGCUCCGGGAACGGUACACGCUACGCUACGGAUAUAGCGGCUCGUAGCACAAAGACGGAAGGAGUCGUCGUCGUCGUCGUCGUCGUCCAUACUCCAUAGUGCGCGAGAGAAAGAGAGCUCUGCUCGGCGCGCGCACCAACCGCUCUGCCUUCCUUUUCCUCUGCUUCAUCUGUGUUCAUCGCCCGGGACGUCGUCGUGUGAGACAGAGGCUCACCAGCCAGCAGCGAGUCCGAGGAAUGUCGACCCCUGCGAGAAGGCGGCUUAUGAGGGACUUCAAGAGGUUACAGGAAGACCCACCCACUGGAGUCUCGGGGGCGCCGACCGACAACAAUAUUAUGAUAUGGAAUGCUGUUAUAUUUGGACCACAUGACACUCCCUUUGAGGAUGGAACUUUCAAACUCACAAUAGAAUUCACAGAGGAAUACCCUAACAAACCACCAACGGUGAGAUUUGUCAGUAAAAUGUUUCACCCAAAUGUCUAUGCAGAUGGUGGAAUAUGUCUGGACAUUCUGCAAAAUCGUUGGAGUCCCACGUACGAUGUCUCUGCAAUCCUGACAUCCAUACAGUCGCUGUUAAGUGACCCAAACCCAAAUUCACCCGCUAAUUCGAUGGCGGCACAACUGUACAAAGAGAACCGGCGCGAGUACGAGAAACGAGUGAAGGCUUGUGUGGAGCAGAGUUUCGUGGAUUAGUUGGAGGCAAGAGCUCGCCGCUGUCGCAGCAGCAACUUAAGGUUUUGUCAGUAUACCGUACCCUUAACGGCAGCCGACUACAGCUACGGCGAACAGCAGCAGUCGCUACGAGGCGUGUCGAGGAUGAGAGGAGAGCUAACGUGCCACCCCGUGAAUUGGAGCUAACGCCUUUGUGCUUUAGUUUUAUAAGCAUGUCAACUCCCCAAGUCUCUGAUUCGAUCAUAAACACUGUACUCUCUCUCCCUCUCUCUUUUACACACCAAACCUACAUUAACACUACACUCAUUAGGGUAGUCCCUGUUUAUAAAUCAUGAAAAAUUAUUUGAUUUUGUUGACCUUUUUUUUAAUUUAAUACUCUUUUUUGUAUGUGCCAGAUUGGUAUGAGUGUGUGAAAAAAUACGUGCAUAAAAUUCAAAAGAGAGAAUGAAGAAAAAGAGUUGACACUUGUAAUUGAGUUUUCUUGUUGGUGAAAUUUCGUUGUUGAAUAAAUUUAAAUAAUAUCAGCGCCAAUAAUUUUAAAUUCAUCAACUACAUCGUCACAUGAAAUCGUUGAUUUUUUAAAACAUUUAUACACAUACCAUCUUUGAAAAUUGUAUUGCAGUUGAUGUAAAAAUGCAGCUUACGCCGGUGUUUCACUCAAAUAUUCCCAAACCCUUAGAGCUAACAGUGGUUUGAGCACACUUUUGCUACACUGGUGCAAAAAUAAAGAGUAAGGCAAAAAAUUUUGAAUGUUGUGAAAUAUGGGCUACUCUAAGACACAUACACAUGUGCAACCACAUUAGACCGAAUUUUUACAAUGUUGUAUAAUAAAUUAAUAUAAAAUUGUGUAUUUAUUUAUUUGAAUACUGCGAAAGAGAGGAAGCGAGGCGUAAAAAGGAGCUUUACGAAAAUAAAAAAACUAAUCUAGUACAUAUAUCUAUGAUGACUAUUGAAGUAUUAGGAGAUAUGAAUGAAAUAAAUGGAAGUGUUAAUACUAAGUAGCUUUUUUGCUUCUGUACUCUGAAAGAGUUCAGGGGCAAACCCUUCCCUAUUGUGUUACUGUAAAAAGGAGCGCAGAACUGUACUUUUGGUUGGAAUUAUUGUCAUUUAAUUAUUAUAAUUGCUAUUGCUAUUAUGAUUACAAUGAUUGUUAUUAUUAUUAUAGUACUUGUAUAGUACAGGAAAAUUUCAUUCACUUAUACAUAUAAAAAGUAUAUAUACACGAACAUAUAAUAAAAUGCAUAAUUUCAAUUUUUAUCCAAUGUUUUUCGUUUUGUCACCCUUUGACCAAUUAAACGUUGUUGUGAACUCAAAGUUAUUUAAAUAAAUUGUACAUCGUCUUCGAUUUUUCGGGUAUGUUUCAGUCUCUUCUCGACGAGCCAAAUCCGAAUUCUCCGGCUAAUUCUUUAGCUGCACAAUUAUAUCAAGAAAAUAAGCGUGAAUACGAAAAGAGGGUGGCGACCGUCGUCGAACAAUCCUGGUUAAAUUUCCAAGAAAGUGGCUCCACGGAAGACCCCCGCUGACAUUAGAUAUAAGUACUAUUCAACGUUGAAUGCUCCGAUCGACGCUGAUUCGUACUACAUUUCUCAUGUGAUCAUCACUGGACAAGUGUGAACAUAAUUAACGUCCACGCAUCUUUGUGAUUUGUCUUAGAUUUUGUGAUGGCAGAUGCUUGCAGAUCAAAACGAUGCAAAUAUCGCUAGCGCGCGUAUGUGUGGAAAAAGUUUGAAUGUAUGAUUAUUAAGAAUAUGUAAUUCCUUAUUUGUUUAAAUACUAGAUUACAAUGAAAGUUUCUUUACACAGUCAAA